CCCUUAGAUGUUCUGGGCCGCACGCGUGCUACACUGAGUGGAUCAGCGGGUCAGGUUGCGCGAAAGUGUUUCCUAAUCUUGAAAUCCGCUCGUGAUGGGGAUUGACGGUUGCAAUUUUCCGUCAUGAACGAGGAAUACCUUGUAAGCGCGGGUCAUCAUCCCGCGCUGAAUACGUCCCUGCCCUUUGUACACACCGCCCGUCGCUCCUACCGAUUGAGUGGUCCGGUGAGGCUUUGGGAUCUGAGCAAAAAGAGCGUUUCGCUCGUUUGGCUCAGAAAACUCAGUCGAACCUUAUCAUUUAGAGGAAGGAGAAGUCGUAACA
This 322-nucleotide ribosomal RNA is filed under the name uncultured eukaryote. Its description in RNAcentral is "partial 18S ribosomal RNA". It matches the Rfam family "Eukaryotic small subunit ribosomal RNA", at positions 1470 to 1796 of the family's 1831-position model. The record is from RNAcentral.